RNAcentral lists this ribosomal RNA (249 nucleotides) under Salmonella enterica. Its description in RNAcentral is "partial 23S ribosomal RNA". It matches the Rfam family "Bacterial large subunit ribosomal RNA", at positions 1 to 241 of the family's 2925-position model. Lineage: Bacteria; Pseudomonadati; Pseudomonadota; Gammaproteobacteria; Enterobacterales; Enterobacteriaceae. The record is from RNAcentral.
GGGUUGUGAGGUUAAGCGACUAAGCGUACACGGUGGAUGCCCUGGCAGUCAGAGGCGAUGAAGGACGUGCUAAUCUGCGAUAAGCGUCGGUAAGGUGAUAUGAACCGUUAUAACCGGCGAUUUCCGAAUGGGGAAACCCAGUGUGAUUCGUCACACUAUCGUUAACUGAAUACAUAGGUUAACGAAGCGAACCGGGGGAAGUGAAACAUCUAAGUACCCCGAGGAAAAGAAAUCAACCGAGAUUCCCCC